UGGGGAAUAUUGGACAAUGGGCGCAAGCCUGAUCCAGCCAUGCCGCGUGAGUGAUGAAGGCCCUAGGGUUGUAAAGCUCUUUCACCGGUGAAGAUAAUGACGGUAACCGGAGAAGAAGCCCCGGCUAACUUCGUGCCAGCAGCCGCGGUAAUACGAAGGGGGCUAGCGUUGUUCGGAUUUACUGGGCGUAAAGCGCACGUAGGCGGACUAUUAAGUCAGGGGUGAAAUCCCGGGGCUCAACCCCGGAACUGCCUUUGAUACUGGUAGUCUUGAGUUCGAGAGAGGUGAGUGGAAUUCCGAGUGUAGAGGUGAAAUUCGUAGAUAUUCGGAGGAACACCAGUGGCGAAGGCGGCUCACUGGCUCGAUACUGACGCUGAGGAGCGAAAGCGUGGGGAGCAAACAGG
RNAcentral lists this ribosomal RNA (404 nucleotides) under Actinomycetes bacterium. RNAcentral's name for it is "Actinobacteria bacterium partial 16S ribosomal RNA". It matches the Rfam family "Bacterial small subunit ribosomal RNA", at positions 355 to 776 of the family's 1533-position model. The record is from RNAcentral. Lineage: Bacteria; Bacillati; Actinomycetota; Actinomycetes.